RNAcentral lists this ribosomal RNA (496 nucleotides) under uncultured bacterium. Its description in RNAcentral is "bacterial SSU rRNA". It matches the Rfam family "Bacterial small subunit ribosomal RNA", at positions 9 to 526 of the family's 1533-position model. The record is from RNAcentral.
GAGUUUGAUCCUGGCUCAGGAUGAACGCUGGCGGCGCGCCUAACACAUGCAAGUCGAACGGCACCCCUCUCCGGAGGGAAGCGAGUGGCGAACGGCUGAGUAACACGUGGAGAACCUGCCCCCUCCCCCGGGAUAGCCGCCCGAAAGGACGGGUAAUACCGGAUACCCCGGGGUGCCGCAUGGCACCCCGGCUAAAGCCCCGACGGGAGGGGAUGGCUCCGCGGCCCAUCAGGUAGACGGCGGGGUGACGGCCCACCGUGCCGACAACGGGUAGCCGGGUUGAGAGACCGACCGGCCAGAUUGGGACUGAGACACGGCCCAGACUCCUACGGGAGGCAGCAGUGGGGAAUAUUGCACAAUGGGGGAAACCCUGAUGCAGCGACGCCGCGUGGAGGAAGAAGGUCUUCGGAUUGUAAACUCCUGUUGUUGAGGAAGAUAAUGACGGUACUCAACAAGGAAGUGACGGCUAACUACGUGCCAGCAGCCGCGGUAAUUC